Long non-coding RNA from Epinephelus moara (kelp grouper), 1146 nucleotides. RefSeq lists it as uncharacterized. NCBI's taxonomy places the organism in Eukaryota, Metazoa, Chordata, Actinopteri, Perciformes, Serranidae. The transcript has 3 exons. The record is from RefSeq and is a predicted model, not a curated record.
GCUUUCAAAUCUCUCUCUCUUUUUCUCUCCGUCUCUCUUCUCGCCCCUGCUCCCUCCUCCUCCUCCUCCUCCUCCUCCUCCUCCUCCACCUCCCUCCCUCCUCUUCCUACCUGAUUCAGAUCCGCUCCGACGCUAUGCGUAUGACCGCGUCUCUCUCUGCAAGGCGAGCACCACCGGAGAGACCCGCACGCUGCUACUGCCGCCGCCGCUGACCGCGAGCACCUAAACGCCGGCUGACGAGCGACCCAGGCCGGGCAACAGGAGCGGGAGCCGCCGCCGCUGAUAACCGUCCGGCGGAGGAGCAGGAGGACAAAAUUAACGUGCGAAGAGUUGGCCCUGGAUAGAGAGAUCGGCAAGAGGACGAGUGUGGCGUCCCGGAGCCUGCUGUCCCAUUCGUCAUCCUCUCCUCUCUUCCUCUACUCAGCCAAGCUUUCACCUCGCCAAACUCCACUCUUCUUCUCCUCUUUUUUUUUAUUCCUCCUCCUCCUCUGCAACUGGCAAACUUUCCAUCCAUUUCUUUCACACUUGUGUCUUCUCUCUGUUUCUCUGUCGUGUUUUUUUUUUUUCUCUCAUCCUCCCUCUCUGUUCCUUUUGCUUUCGACUGUGAGCUCGGCUCGUCAUGGCGUCUAAACUGAACCCCAACGUCCUGUACGUGGCAGAGCACGGCGAGCCGCUGGGGUCACCUCAGGCGGACUCUGAAAGGACCCACAUUACACCCUGCGGCCGGGAUGCUCAGAACAGAGGAUCCACUGACUGCUCGCUAGCUAUCACUGUACCCUGGACGACUUGGGAAAGAGCAAAUUCAACGAAAAUAGUCUAUUUAACCAAGAUUUCGUGGCAUGGCUGAAACCAGUACAAAGCUCUUGUAUUUUAUGCAAAAGUUUUUCUUUUUUGUCACCUAAAUCAUUAUUAAAACAAUUUUUGUGACAUUGACAUGUCGGUUACAACAGCAUUACAAGAUAACUGAAAAGUAACAAGAGCUAACAAAACAAAAACUGGUUGGGUAAAUACACAUUUACAGCCAUAAGGAUUAGCGUCUAUUGAUUGUUAUUCCAGUCCAGUGUCGUCUUUUUGAGUCUUGUUUUCUUUCCAGUUGUGCUUCUUGCAGUCUCAGUAUGUGUCAAUUUCUCCAUUAAAAAGAGUUCU